This 812-nucleotide ribosomal RNA is filed under the name uncultured bacterium. Its description in RNAcentral is "bacterial SSU rRNA". It matches the Rfam family "Bacterial small subunit ribosomal RNA", at positions 8 to 796 of the family's 1533-position model. The record is from RNAcentral.
AGAGUUUGAUCCUGGCUCAGAACGAACGCUGGCGGCGUGGAUAAGACAUGCAAGUCGAACGAGACUUUUCGUUGUAGCAAUACGAUGGAAAGUUUAGUGGCGAACGGGUGCUUAACACGUGGGCAACCUGCCAGGAAGUGGGGGGAUAGCUCGCCGAAAGGCGAAUUAAUACCGCAUGUGAUUAGAGAGGACAUCCUUUCAAAAUUAAAGUCGGGGCAACCUGACGCUUCUUGUGGGGCCCGCGGCCUAUCAGCUAGUUGGUGAGGUGACGGCCCACCAAGGCUUUGACGGGUAGCUGGUCUGAGAGGACGACCAGCCACACUGGGACUGAGACACGGCCCAGACACCUACGGGUGGCAGCAGUCGAGAAUUUUUGACAAUGGGGGAAACCCUGAUCGAGCGACGCCGCGUGGAGGAUGAAGGUCUUCGGAUUGUAAACUCCUGUCAUUGGGGAACAAUGCACAGAUAUUAACUGUAUUUGUGUUGAUAGUACCCGAAGAGGAAGGGACGGCUAACUCUGUGCCAGCAGCCGCGGUAAUACAGAGGUCUCAAGCGUUGUUCGGAUUCAUUGGGCGUAAAGGGUGCGUAGGCGGCGCGGUAAGUCGGGUGUGAAAUCUCGGGGGCUUAACUCCGAAACUGCAUUCGAUACUGCCGUGCUUGAGGACUGGAGAGGAGACUGGAAUUUACGGUGUAGCGGUGAAAUGCGUAGAUAUCGUAAGGAAGACCAGUGGCGAAGGCGGGUCUCUGGACAGUUCCUGACGCUGAGGCACGAAGGUCAGGGGAGCAAACNNNAUUAGAUACCCUAGUAGUCC